Molecule: ribosomal RNA, 427 nt
Filed under: uncultured bacterium
Lineage: Bacteria
Description: partial 16S ribosomal RNA
Rfam family: Bacterial small subunit ribosomal RNA
Source: RNAcentral
UGGGGAAUAUUGGACAAUGGGCGAAAGCCUGAUCCAGCCAUGCCGCGUGUGUGAAGAAGGUCUUCGGAUUGUAAAGCACUUUAAGUUGGGAGGAAGGGCAUUAACCUAAUACGUUAGUGUUUUGACGUUACCGACAGAAUAAGCACCGGCUAACUCUGUGCCAGCAGCCGCGGAAAUACAGAGGGGGCAAGCGUUAAUCGGAAUUACUGGGCGUAAAGCGCGCGUAGGUGGUUUGUUAAGUUGGAUGUGAAAUCCCCGGGCUCAACCUGGGAACUGCAUUCAAAACUGACUGACUAGAGUAUGGUAGAGGGUGGUGGAAUUUCCUGUGUAGCGGUGAAAUGCGUAGAUAUAGGAAGGAACACCAGUGGCGAAGGCGACCACCUGGACUAAUACUGACACUGAGGUGCGAAAGCGUGGGGAGCAAACA